GAACAAGAAAAUGUUUAGUUGGAUUGGGAGCUGCCAAGACAGGGGCAUUUAUCAGUGCAUUUUUCAGAUGUUGAAAUGCCUGCUCACACUCUGGGAUCCAGGUUACUUGGCGGGAAAGGUUCUUACGGGUCAGGUCAGUAAGGGGUUUGGCCAGGGCACUAUAAUUGGGGACGAACUUCCUAUAAUACCCUGCCGUCUCGAGAAACGCUAGCACUUGCGUCUUAGUCCUAGGGGUGGGCCAC
Pelobates cultripes (western spadefoot toad) is the source of this 242-nucleotide non-coding RNA. The record is from the annotation of a GenBank genome assembly. Lineage: Eukaryota; Metazoa; Chordata; Amphibia; Anura; Pelobatidae.